UACAGAGACUGCAAGCGUUGUUCGGAUUCAUUGGGCGUAAAGGGCGCGUAGGCGGCGGGGUAAGUCGGGUGUGAAAUCUCAGAGCUCAACUCUGAAACUGCACUCGAUACUGCUCUGCUUGAGGACUGGAGAGGAGACUGGAAUUCACGGUGUAGCAGUGAAAUGCGUAGAUAUCGUGAGGAAGACCAGUGGCGAAGGCGGGUCUCUGGACAGUUCCUGACGCUGAGGCGCGAAAGCGUGGGGAGCAAACAGG
Molecule: ribosomal RNA, 253 nt
Filed under: uncultured bacterium
Lineage: Bacteria
Description: partial 16S ribosomal RNA
Rfam family: Bacterial small subunit ribosomal RNA
Source: RNAcentral